GAACGUACCUUUUGGUUCGGAACAACACAGGGAAACUUGUGCUAAUACCGGAUAAGCCCUUACGGGGAAAGAUUUAUCGCCGAAAGAUCGGCCCGCGUCUGAUUAGCUAGUUGGUGAGGUAAUGGCUCACCAAGGCGACGAUCAGUAGCUGGUCUGAGAGGAUGAUCAGCCACAUUGGGACUGAGACACGGCCCAAACUCCUACGGGAGGCAGCAGUGGGGAAUAUUGGACAAUGGGCGCAAGCCUGAUCCAGCCAUGCCGCGUGAGUGAUGAAGGCCCUAGGGUUGUAAAGCUCUUUUGUGCGGGAAGAUAAUGACGGUACCGCAAGAAUAAGCCCCGGCUAACUUCGUGCCAGCAGCCGCGGUAAUACGAAGGGGGCUAGCGUUGCUCGGAAUCACUGGGCGUAAAGGGUGCGUAGGCGGGUCUUUAAGUCAGGGGUGAAAUCCUGGAGCUCAACUCCAGAACUGCCUUUGAUACUGAGGAUCUUGAGUUCGGGAGAGGUGAGUGGAACUGCGAGUGUAGAGGUGAAAUUCGUAGAUAUUCGCAAGAACACCAGUGGCGAAGGCGGCUCACUGGCCCGAUACUGACGC
This 590-nucleotide ribosomal RNA is filed under the name Bradyrhizobium sp. Its description in RNAcentral is "bacterial SSU rRNA". It matches the Rfam family "Bacterial small subunit ribosomal RNA", at positions 122 to 746 of the family's 1533-position model. The record is from RNAcentral. Lineage: Bacteria; Pseudomonadati; Pseudomonadota; Alphaproteobacteria; Hyphomicrobiales; Nitrobacteraceae.